Molecule: long non-coding RNA, 2223 nt
Organism: Lotus japonicus
Lineage: Eukaryota; Viridiplantae; Streptophyta; Magnoliopsida; Fabales; Fabaceae
Exons: 5
Source: RefSeq, a predicted model, not a curated record
UAAAUAGCUCAGAUUUAGCUGAAAAGUUGGAGCAAGCAGAGAAUCAGUUGGCGCACUCACGCUUUGGGUCACUAAUUGCACCCACACCUAGAAAGAAAGAAGUUGAUGAGGACACGUUAAUAUUGGUUAGAGGUUGUGUUAAGCCGAUGAGGCAGCAAGGGGGUCAUGGUGUACCUUUGCUAGGUGCUCAUCACUAAGGUACUGGAAAAUGAGAUGUGAUAAAGAACCAGAGAAAGGAAUUAGAAGCAAGUAAAGGAUGGACAUCAAGGAAUGAGGACCAUUUGAAAGUGAGAGAGCUGAGUGAUGGCUAAGUAUGCAGUCACUGACAGAACUGACCUCUUUGGAAGUCAUGGUAUAAGCAUCUAGCGUCCGUCAGCCGGUUCAUGAUGAUUCGUUGUGCGGGAAAGACCCGGAGCGUAAUGACUAUUACUGAAGCUUUCGACGAGGACCCGGACUUCAGGCCUGAUCGAGGAAGGGUCGAUGAAAGUAGUGUGGGUUAUGGGUGGUUAGAGUCUUUGAGAUGGUUGUUAGAGUCAUAGCUCUGAUUGUCAUUCCUUAUUUUGGGGCAGGGCAGGUCCCCGACUAUUAGCUUUUCAUGUGAUUCCCUUCCAUGAGGAUCACAGGGAGUUUGUCGGACGUAGGAAGUCUUUUGAGGCCGUUUUGGGCCGACUUACUUUCGUUGGAGGACUGUACUCAGAAUACUUAACCUUUGUUUUAGUUUGUACAUAUUUGCCCACGGGCACUACCUUUCCGUCACUGGAGGUCACUCGUGACGAUGUUUAGUUGCAGCGAGGGCUGUGCUUGUAUUGUAUAUUAAUCGCUGUUAAUCGCGAUUGGGUUGAGUCUUUAUUUCGACAAGUCUUUUUAUUUAAACAAAACAAAAAAAAAUACCUGCUUUUUCCGCUUUAUUUUAUUUUGAGUUACUAAAGUGACGCCACCGAAAUCGGGGUGUUACAAUUUCUCGAAUCAUCCGACUCAUCUCCAUCCGAUGGUCAAAAACUGCUCAGCGAGCAAAAAGUACCAACGUACUUGGAAACUACCCGUUUCCCGGCUUAUCUUUUAGAUAACCAAACAACAAAACUGCUCAUCGAGCAAAAGAGCAUCAAAGUACUCAGAAACUUAUUAAUUUUCCCGACUAAUCUUUUAGAUAGUCAAACAACAAAACUGCUCCUCGAGCAAAGAGUAUCAACAUACUCGGAAACUCAUUAGUUUCCCCAAAACUUGGACUCGGCGACACUUCUCAUUUUCCAAAACUAAUAUUCAAGUCCUAAGCUCUUAUUUGCGAUUGUGAUCAUUAUUUAAAGGUUCAGAGGUUGUUUAGUGUCUUAUGAAUUUUCCUUGUAAAAUAGUUUCCAUUUUGUUUUGUCUCUAACCUUAUGAGUUUAAAAGAUCCCAUAAUCCCAAGUGAUUCCCAGAAAAGGUCUCGAUCCAUCAAAACAAUAACAAGGCCCGAACCUCUGUUCGUCCCGUCAAACUUUCUCAAAAUCUCAUGAUAAAUUUGGCAUAACUGCCCGUUAUCCUCUCUGACGUACAACAGAUAUAUGUGUAACUCCAUAAUCAAAGUAACGCAAUCCAACAGUCAUGGCACAUAUCAACACAUCAUAGAAUAACCAUUUAGCACAUAGCAUGUGAAUCAUUAUCAGCACAUCCUAGAUUAACCAUUUAGCACAUAGCAUGUGAAUCAAUCUCAACCAAUUCAAGCAAUAAAUGAUUAUCAAUUGUCAGUCGUAGCCUCAGAAAACAUUUUUCCCAGUCAAACACAAUCAAGUGCAUAAACAAUAAAUCAAGUCGAAUUCGUCGACACCUAAAUCAUUAUCUAGUAUUCAGUGAGUAGCCCUCACCUGUAGUUCCUCCAGGGUGUUCCUCAAGUUCUCCUUCACAACCUUCCUCUCCGACUCCACAGAGUUCCUCAAACGAACCUUAAAGAAAAUUCACAUAAAUCAAUCACAAUGAGUCAGAAACUCAGCAAACAAUAAGUAUUAGGGUUACACGAAGCAUUAUAAACCUCGAAGUACGAUAAUCUAACGCGUUAAGACAAGUUUUCGAAAAACAAAAUUUUCCUCCCCCUAAAGAGGAGCUCUCGGCCACACAUCAUAAUUGUGUGCGUCGAUUUUUCUUCGAUCAAACUUGGUUCCUAGGUUAUCAUUAGUCGUAACUAAGACGAAUCUAAGCUCGGAAAAAUUUUCGGAUGGAAAACUGUCGCAGGGGUAUUUUGGUCAAUAU